This 521-nucleotide ribosomal RNA is filed under the name uncultured bacterium. RNAcentral describes it as "bacterial SSU rRNA". It matches the Rfam family "Bacterial small subunit ribosomal RNA", at positions 28 to 526 of the family's 1533-position model. The record is from RNAcentral.
GACGAACGCUGGCGGCGUGCCUAAUACAUGCAAGUCGAGCGGAGUGAUGUUGGAAGCUUGCUUCCAACAUCACUUAGCGGCGGACGGGUGAGUAACACGUAGGCAACCUGCCUGUAAGACUGGGAUAACUACCGGAAACGGUAGCUAAUACCGGAUAAUUUAUUUCUUCUCCUGGAGAGAUAAUGAAAGACGGAGCAAUCUGUCACUUACGGAUGGGCCUGCGGCGCAUUAGCUAGUUGGUGAGGUAACGGCUCACCAAGGCGACGAUGCGUAGCCGACCUGAGAGGGUGAACGGCCACACUGGGACUGAGACACGGCCCAGACUCCUACGGGAGGCAGCAGUAGGGAAUCUUCCGCAAUGGACGAAAGUCUGACGGAGCAACGCCGCGUGAGUGAUGAAGGUUUUCGGAUCGUAAAGCUCUGUUGCCAGGGAAGAACGUCCGGUAGAGUAACUGCUACCGGAGUGACGGUACCUGAGAAGAAAGCCCCGGCUAACUACGUGCCAGCCGCCGCCGUAACAC